CUCUCAGCCAACAUCUUUAUUUCACACCUCCAUCACAGCGCCCGACCUCAGCGCAUCCCCCACCCCAAACCAGGGCUCGGGAGGGGGGGACGCACCAUCCCCUAUCUGCAUCAAUAGGUCCGGCAGCCACCUUCACCCCAUCAAAUGGGGGGGGGGAACGACGACGACGACGACACACCGUGGGACCCCCCCCGGGGGCAUUCCCAGCCCAGUCAGUGCAUCUUGCAGUGCACGGGGUGCAGCAGGGCCAUGUGCUCGGCCCCUUUGAAGGGCAGCUUCUCGGUGGAGUAAUAAUGCACGACCUCGGGGACGCUGGCGAAGCCCCCGCUGGCCUGGCUCAGCGUGUACUUAUGGUCCUUGGUCUGCGCCACCAGGAUGUGCACGCAGCCUUGGCUGGUCUUGAGGGCAAUGGAGUACUUCCCACUGCCGCUCUCGCUGGUGCGCACCAGGUACCCGGCUUCCUUGCACGCCUGCAGCCGGCUCUCAGCCUCCGCACGGGUGAUGGCCCCGUGGUACCACGGCUGCUUCUCCAGCGACACGGCGGGGUCCACGCGCUCCCCCUCGCUCUGCUCCGAUGGUUUCACCAUGCGUGGGGUCCAACUCUUCUGGCGGAGGUGCUGCCGUGCUGCCUCCUCCCGGGGCCGCUCAGAGCCCUCAAACUGAACCGACAGCGCCUUCACGAUCUGCUCCUUCUUCCACUCCCAGGGCUGCUCAUACUCAGCCGCCGGGCGCUCAUCAGCCCCGGGUUCAUAGGGGGUGUCGUAGAGCUGCGGCCCCCGCCCCACCGCCUCGCUGCCCCCCCCGACCUUCUUGGCCACCUCCGCUUUGCCCCCCGCCUCAUCCAGCAGCAGGAGAGCCUUCACCAGGGGGUCUUUGGAGCCGCGGCGGCGGACCUCUGUGAUCAUCUGCUGUGCGUCGUAGGGCUCCAUGUAGCCGUCGUUCUCCCCCAGGCGCUCGGCAUCCCGCUGCCCUUUGGUGCGUUUGGCAUCGUAGGGGUCGGCGUAGUCCUCCAGGAUGAUGACCGUCUCCGUUUUGGGGUUCUUGCCCUUCUCCUCGGGCGCGGGCCCGGCGCUGGGGUAGCCCUUGGGGUUUUUCUCGUGGGCUUCCACUUUGAUCAGGCGGUUGAUGUACGUCCCGCAGCUCCGGGGGGGUCCCUCGGCCGCGACCCCCUCCACCUUCGAGUUUUUGCGCAUCCUCCCGGCGGCGGCUUGCAGCAGUCCCUGCAGGUUGUCCCGCGACAGACGGCCGCCCCCGUCCUUGCCGGCCCCGGGGGGGUACGCGGCCCUGCAGCCCCCCACCUCCGCCGCCGAGUUUUUGCGGCUUUUCCCCGGCGGGGCCCCCCCGGGAGGUUCGGUGCCCCCCAGGCUCUUACGGGCGGUGCCUCCCGGUUUGUUCGGCCGCGCUUUCUCCGAGCCCGUCCUCAGGUUGGAGGGGAACUCCUUGAACCAUUUGGCCGCCAUAGGGCCGGGGGCGCGCCCCCCCCGGGGCCGGCGGUGGGGUCAGGGCCAGCGCAGCUCUCCCCCCGCCCCGAGCACCGGGGGCCGCUCCGAGCGUCCCUCGCCCCGACGGGGACGGGGUCCGGCGGCGCCCCCGGAGGUCGGGGGCGGAGGGGGGGGUCCGGGCUCUGCUCCAGCGAUGGGCGCGGGGGGGGCUCUGCGCGGCUCCAGCCCCGGGCGGGGGCGGGGGGGGGUCUUCGGUCGGCGCUCCGGGGCAGCUCCGCGCUGAGUGCCCCUCGAGGGCGGCCGGGGCCGUCGCGGCUCCGCGGUGGGGGCGAUCCCCGGGAGUGCGGCUCGGUCACGCCGGCCCGGGGGGCCCCAUGCGACGGCGGCGGGACGGGACCGGACGGGACGGACGGACGGACGGAGCCCGGCGGGGCUGGAAGCGGCCGGAGGGGGGCGGCGGGGCCGGAGCUCCCGCCCAGAUCCGGAGGGGGCGGCCCCGGGGGGGUGGCGGGGAUCGGGCCCGGCCCGACGGGGCGGCUCUGCGCGGGGCACCGCGGGGCGACACGAGGGGUCCCCGUCCGGUGGUGGCCGAGUGGGGUCUGGGGUAGGGCGGGCGGGGGCAGCGGGAGCACCGAUCCGACCCCACGAUCCCUCCCC
Molecule: long non-coding RNA, 2099 nt
Filed under: Gallus gallus (chicken)
Lineage: Eukaryota; Metazoa; Chordata; Aves; Galliformes; Phasianidae
Source: RNAcentral